RNAcentral lists this ribosomal RNA (202 nucleotides) under uncultured bacterium. RNAcentral describes it as "partial 16S ribosomal RNA". It matches the Rfam family "Bacterial small subunit ribosomal RNA", at positions 524 to 723 of the family's 1533-position model. The record is from RNAcentral.
UACGAGGGGGGGCAAGCGUUGUUCGGAAUUAUUGGGCGUAAAGGGCGCGUAGGCGGUUUGACAAGUCUGAUGUGAAAUCUCUGGGCUCAACCCCAGAGUCUGCAUUAGAAACUGUCGGGCUUGAGUAUGGGAGAGGUGAGUGGAAUUUCCGGUGUAGCGGUGAAAUGCGUAGAUAUCCGGAAGAACACCGGUGGCGAAGGCG